CUGAUUGGCCAGUGUUUUUCGUUAAUAAUUCAAAAACGAAGUUUCAACCAACAUUGUGGUAAAGGAAAAAGUUGUUCGGAAUCAUCCCAGCAACCCCCCAUUUCCGGGUGUUACGCGAGUUCUGGGACACCCUGUAUAUAUAAGAUAACCUCAAAAAUCAAACUGAAGUUUACCGAUAUCACUGAUCGAUCGUAAACGACAAACGAGUCUCGUAGUCGAACAUUAAUCGAACAAUUCCAAAAAAUGGCGGGGAUGAAGACGCGGUACAGUGAAAAACCAUUCUGUCUUAAGAAAUAUAUAUUCUUAGUCUUGCUUUCUACACAAAUGUCGUAAUUGAAAUCUUCGUUGAGAAGAUUAUAAGUUUAAUAGUUCUUGCAAACUUUCCCAAGGCUCAAUCACGAAAGUGGUGAAUAAAUCAUGUGAUCGUGAAACAGGCAAGUAUCGUCGAAACGGGACGAACGAAAAGUAUCGCUCGCCGAAUUAUCUAUCACUUUCCUCUUAAUGGCUUUUUCGUGUAUACAUUUAUAACCAAAAUAUUAAGCGAUCAUCUAAGGAUUUUUAGGCGAAGAUGCACUAAUGGACCGACUUGUCACGAUCUGCUAUGGUAUCGGGUCAAGGAUCGCAAUGUACGGCAGAAACUGUUUAUAUUCCUCUGGAAGAUAUUCCUCGGUUUCUCUUCUCUCCGCGGAUGAAAACGCAACGUUUCGUAUUGAACGAGAGGAGAAUCGUAAAAGGAACGGUAUAUCUCAUCGUUCAUCGAAAAUAUGAUCUGUCAUAACCGUCUCUAGUCUGUGAUUUAAUUAUGCAUUCCUUUAGUUAUUGAAACGCUUUAACAGGUUCUACGUACGAAAAACUCAUACAACCUGUAUCUGUGAAAGGUUUUACUUCCCGAUGCCAAUGAACUUCCAAACGCUAACGUCCGUAAUCCGUAUUAUCGACGAUCAUCACGAACAAAUUGAAUCUCCUAUUAGGAUCGAUCGGAGAAAAUAAGAGGGGGAAACAAGUCGAUAAAACGAACAUCGGCAAGUUCAAGGUGUUCCCUAAAGUGCCUUAUUUUUAGGAUUCCACAGGUUCUUGGAUACCUGGCGCUAUGGCGAUCGACUCUCAAAUUCUUCAAUGGGACGAGUCUCCAACUUUCAUCGUCCUUUUCACCUUUUUUCUUUCUUCGGCCAUCAUUUUGAUGAAACGGAACAGUCGAUGGUACUUGAAAUUGAAGGUGCAUCUGUGCAAAUAAUACUAAGGAAAAAAAAAUAUGCAUCGUGAUUGUCCUACGUUCGUUCAAGGUGAUCGUGCCUAGUUUAUUCGAAAUAUGUGACAUGAAACGCAAAACAACCAUCCUGAAUUGCAGAAAUUGAUGUCGAAUACUUCUCAACGUAUUCAAAUAUUUCACGUUAAUCUUUUGCUUGUUUUCGUCGUGCUGCUAUCAUAGGAGCAUACUAAAUCAUUUAUUUUAUACACAUUCUCAGCGAGUCCUUUCAAUCGAGGACCUCGAAUUGCUGGUAUCAUUAAAAUCAAGCUAACAAAUGGACGUGCAAAGAAGGACAAAUUAUGGAUAUUAUUCUUAUCAUUCCUCUACGUUCAAUAGUUCCUGGCAAAUACAACGCUUACAGGCGAUAAUGCACUUUUUCGUUGUAACGAUAAUAUCGUUUGGAUAUCAUUUUGAUAUCGCCAUGUUGCAAUGAUUAGUCUAGGUACAUAUGUAGCUACAGUGGCGUGCAAAAGUAUUCGGCCACCGUUUGAAACAGAAUACCUCAUUUCAAAUUGGACCAAAUCACUUGAGGUUUUUCGAGAAGCUAUAUAAAUUAAUUUACUAGGAUAUGUGCUUUUGUCGUUUUAAAAAAUUACAAUUUGUCGAAAUAGUAAAAGGCAAUUUUUCAACUUUUUUAUGUGAGCCUAUAAUGAAAAUUUAAAAUAUGUCUUUCGUAGAUUCAAAGAAAUUAUGUGUAUACUGAAAAUUUCAUCGAGAUCGGUGAACGUAUAUAAAGUUAUAAGUAAUUAAAAUUUCCGAAAAUCGCGACUUUUCACCUAAGAACGGAACUAGUCAUGUACACUGUAUGUGUAUAUAAAAUACGUAAACUUAAACACGCUAUAUUUUUAACCGACUUCGAAAAAGGAGGAUUUUUUUUUAAUGUAUGUUCACCGAUUAUUCUAAGAAUGUACUCGAAACGAAAUCUAUUGUAUCUCGUAGAGCAUGUCUCACAACUGGUCCUGCAAAAAAAAUAUUUUGCGGGAUUAUAUAUAAAAAUAAUUUUAAGUAAACAAUAUUCAACUGGGGUCAACAUACCCAUUGCGGAUUUACUACAUGUAUGUAUAUCAGAAGUGCUGCAAACUUCUGAUACUCUUGUUCUAAUUAUAAAUAUUAUCAGCCAUA
Molecule: non-coding RNA, 2371 nt
Organism: Osmia lignaria (orchard mason bee)
Lineage: Eukaryota; Metazoa; Arthropoda; Insecta; Hymenoptera; Megachilidae
Source: RefSeq, a predicted model, not a curated record